UCCCCGAUGGUGUAACGGUAACAUAGCUGGUUUUCAACUCGAUGUAAAGCCCAGCAGCCCCGGGUUCAACUCCCGGUCGAGGAA
Molecule: transfer RNA, 84 nt
Organism: Cladophialophora psammophila CBS 110553
Lineage: Eukaryota; Fungi; Ascomycota; Eurotiomycetes; Chaetothyriales; Herpotrichiellaceae
Rfam family: tRNA
About the family: Transfer RNA (tRNA) molecules are approximately 80 nucleotides in length. Their secondary structure includes four short double-helical elements and three loops (D, anti-codon, and T loops).
Source: Rfam